AGGUCAUUCAAAACUCGAAUGAACUUCUUCAUCAAAAUAGAAAUCUUUAUAGGGACAAUUUUGUGCCUCGUGUGCAAGCUCAACAGAGCAUUGGAAGCAACCUUGUUCUCUGCCACACUCUGCCGGCUGCUAAUGGAGUCUAAUCUUUGUCAUGUCUCAGAAUUAGUGCAUACUUUUAAAAUAUGAUGAUAUUCUUUCUAUCGUAAUUGUUGUUUCUGCUCACAGGGGCAAAACAACCUUAGAUGCCAUUAUUCAUUUAUUAUACACCUUUCCCUCUCUAGGACUCCCAUUAUAAUUAAAAACUGAUAAUAGUCCUUUUUAUUACUAGCAAAUAUGUUAAAGAAUUUUAGAAUUUAUAGGCUAUUAAUCAUUUACAAGAAUCCCUUACAUUCCAUUGGUCAACACCAUCAAGUAUUUAAACGGCAAAUAGGGUAUAAAUGCCGCCUAAGUAGCCAUGCUAAUUUGAAAAUUUUCAUUUUAAAGGAUUAUGAUUCUACUGCAUUUCCAAAGCAUUUGCCCUAAAGGACAUACAGCCUGACAUGUAUGUUAAAUGAAAGAUCUAGAAAGUCAUCGGUAGAAAGGGCUGAUGUUCACCUAACAUCAGGGCGAGGUUAUGCUUGUGUCUUUCUAGAAAGUGAAUGCAGUCCCAGGUGGCUCCCUUUCUGAUGACUCUGACCAGGAGAGCUCCCCAGAGUCCACUGGACAGACGAAGCUUCUGAAGGUAGAUGGCAAACCCCUCAGGAAAAGACGUCCCAAGAGGAAGAGGAAGCCAGUAACUUGGGGAGACAUCAAGAAUUUAACUUAUCAAGCAGAGACCUUGGGGAAACAACAAGGAUAUAAUACUAAUGACCCAAAAAUGAUGCUGUUGUGUUUAAUAACUAUAUUACAUGUUAAUUCUCAGCAUGACCACUCAGAUCCCAAUUGACUUGUUGGAGAGAUAAAGGUAUAACUGUGAUAAAUAGUGUAAUGUUGUUCUGCCAUGCUAAGGAUUUUUUUUUUUUAUUAUUCCUUUGGGACCAGUUGUUUGGACAGAGGAUGGUAUGCAAAUAUUUCCUUGCACAUUUUGGUGGGACUUAGCUAAUUGAUCAGUUCACAUCAGUAAUAACAGUUUUUAGCAUAACUAAGUACUCUUUUAAAGCUCUGAUAAUGGGAACUAAAGUUAUGUAAAGAUUAAAAGAGGAAUUUUUUUGUAUUGCUUACUAAAGUUGCUAUUAUUGUACCUACAAUGGCACAACCUGUUACCAGUGGUUUAGAAAAUAACCUCUGGCUUCAUGUGCCACAUGACUGUCAACAAGACCAGUCUGUGUAUCAGAAGAGACACCAGUCUAUUCCUAAGUUUUUUUCCUUAAGACUUAUUUAUUACAUAUACAGUGUUUCGCUUGCAUGUGUGCCUAAAAGCCAGAAAAGAGCAUCAGAUCCCAUUACAGAUGGUUGUGAGCCACCAUGUGGUUGCUGGGAAUUGAACUUGGGGCCUCUGGAAAAGCAGCCCCUGCUCUUAACCUCUGAGCCAUCUCUCCAGCUCCUACUCCUGGACUCUUGUCAAUGGUAUUCUGGUAUGUGGGGCUUUAAUGAGCCAGGCUUUUCUCAUACUAUCUAUGGUCAGAUUAAUGAUAUGCAUAAAGAGAGAAAAUCUUGCAGGUACCUUUGAGUGGCCAUCAUAAAGAUGGCUUUCCUCUUUCUUUGGUCCUCUGUAAGCUGUUUUAUAAUUCUGCUAUGCUUGCCUGUAUUAGACUAGCCAUGUGGACAGUGCAUUCAACCUUGGCCACAAUUUUCUUCUUAAAAAGUAAAAAAGCAGGGAGCUAUGGGGGCACUAGUGGAACCAGGAAUGUUAAGCACACAGGGUUGUCUCCUCUAAGGAGGAGAUGGACGGCCUGUUUUCCUCCCAGAAGACUGGGAGCAGGUGUGCUUAAUAACCUGGUGACCUUUGUGCUGUCUGUGUGGCCAAGACCACACUGGAGUCUCCCCCAGACACUUACAGUGAACUUGUCAAUAUGUAGACUUCGCCUUUAUGGAAAAUGUCAUGUGUAUUUUUACAAAGUGUUUUUAUGUAGUCCUGUCUUAAGCGUCAUUGUGCAUGUGGGACUGAGUUAUUUAUUGCCAGGAAAUUUUUCACCGAAUUGUGCUGUGCUUAAAGACGCCUAAACUAUUUAGAGUCAGACUCUGAAACCAGCUACCCAGUCAUGUUGAACUGAGCUGCCUUGCCCCUUGCAGAUCGCCACUUGUCGCUUCUGCACGGGGCAAACAAGCCAUGGGUACUGGAUGAGCCACUCAGAAAACCAAUAAACAUAUCCUAUGGGCUAUACCUAGGAGAGGCAUAAAAGCAUAUUCCAAGAACAGUUCUAUGUUUUUGAAUAAUGGAGAUCACAAGACUUGGUUUCUUGGAGUUUUCUCAUAAGCACUCAGAAGUUUCACGUGAUUCCAUUCUUGCAUCCUGGUCUAAUAUCUUCCCUGUUAUGUGGGUUUUUAACCCAAGGCAUCCAGACUAGUUUUGUUUUGAGAUGUUGUUGAUAAAGCUAAUUACCAUUUGAUGCAUGUGUAUCCUAUAAGUAUACAAAUGAUCAAUACAAUACCCUUAGAACAGUGAAAGCACUGUGUGUGAUACAUCUCCACUAAGAUAAGUGACCCAAACUGUGUCCAGCACUAUCAAUGUCUAGUGCAUGGGGACCCUGGAUAGGUCACAGUGAUGAGGACACAGGAUGCAGAGUAACCGUGAACCACUGCAUUCCUUAUUGAAUGUUCCAGCAUCUUUUAUAGGCAAGCAGAAUAAAGAUUUCUUGAAGCUUAGCAGCUUCUGUUUCUUAGGCCGUAGGUAAUCUAGGUUCAAGGUGAGCAAACCUUGCAGACUGAGGACUCUGUCAGCAGUCCAACUCUUUUAAGUGUUGCUUAGUUUGAUUAAAAUGAAAGGUUUUUCUCAUGAGAAGAUCAUGAAGGCCACUUCUCCAGGCAAGCCGCUUACUUUGCAGACACCGGGACUCUUCGCUGAGAAAGUGGCUUUCUCAGAGUCCCAGUGCGCUGUCCUUACAUCACCUAGCAGGCUGGAGCACUCACCUCGUGCUAGUUCUCCAUCAUUUUUAUUUUUUAAUUUAGCUUCUAAAUGUUUUUGCCAUGAUGUACGUGUUUGUGAAGUGUGUUUAUGAAAGCAACACUUGUAAAUAGCCGAUCCAACAGUGCUAAUUAAAACAGUGCUAAUAAGUAAAGCAACCCUGUCCCUCCGGCCUCGUGAGUCACGCUCUGUAUUAGAGUUUUAGGAUCUGUGCCAGUUUAUCGGCUAAUAUUUGAGCAAUAUCAGGUACAUCAUCAUAUGAAAAUUAUUUUUUGAAUGUGUCUAGCACUUGGUGGUGUAACUGUUCAAUAUCCUUUCUAAUAGUAGAAUUUCCUUUCAAAUAUUGUUGGAUCUUAUUCCAAUCCUGAUGGCUGGCAUUAUAUUGAAAAUUAGUAACGUAAAAUGUAGUAGAAUUCCAUUCACAAUUUAACUGCAACUGUUGUUGCACACUCAAAUAUUUUUGACCUAACAAGAUACAGGUUGCUUUAAUGCAUCUACUUCUGUCUGCAACCUUGCGUCGAUGUCCCUCUGAGGAACCCACAAUUCAUGAGCGUACUUAUGCCAUUGUUCUACAGAAGGUUUAGUGUGGAAAGAACUAUGCAAAGCCACCCCAGCUACUGAGCCUGUGGACUCAGCAAUAAGACUUAAAAUUCCAGCAACGAUUCCUAACUUACGCUUUGUUCUUUUUUUAUCUCUCCAUGAGCUGUUAUUAAUCCACAUGGUUUAAAUACUUCUGGUAAAACUUGUAAAAGAUUUCUAGUUCUGCCAUGCUAAGUCCUGC
Molecule: long non-coding RNA, 3824 nt
Filed under: Mus musculus (house mouse)
Lineage: Eukaryota; Metazoa; Chordata; Mammalia; Rodentia; Muridae
Description: long non-coding RNA chr14:47312853-47316677
Source: RNAcentral